This 239-nucleotide long non-coding RNA is filed under the name Panax ginseng (ginseng). Its description in RNAcentral is "long non-coding RNA (PGIN_LNC012358)". Lineage: Eukaryota; Viridiplantae; Streptophyta; Magnoliopsida; Apiales; Araliaceae. The record is from RNAcentral.
GAAAUUUCACUAUGGUCACUUGACUCGGACACGCGUUAGGCACAUGCUUCAUUCCAAUAGAAAGGACUUUUGAUUCUCUGACAUUUCAAGACACACAAGAAGGCUCUCUAGAGUUCUGUCACGUGUUGCCUUUGUGAUCGCCUACCAGUUCUUCUCCCCUCUACAAACUCUCGAUCAUUUUCUGUACUAUUCGUGGAUUUCUACCCUAAUUGAGCGAGGUACGAUUUACUUGUCUACAC